RNAcentral lists this long non-coding RNA (214 nucleotides) under Gallus gallus (chicken). RNAcentral describes it as "long non-coding RNA NONGGAT008387". The record is from RNAcentral. Lineage: Eukaryota; Metazoa; Chordata; Aves; Galliformes; Phasianidae.
GGAUGGAGGUGAGACUCCUUCAUUGGGCAUCACACAUGUGGACAGAGCAGACCAGCCAAGGGGAGCAGGAGACAGAAACUGGGGAGAAAAAGUAGCCCUCCCUACAGGCAGGCAGCAGCAGUCAGAGUCAGGAGGAACCAGCACACACCACUGAAUAAGGAGCCCUCCAGAAGCACUCCAGACAGGUCAGUGUUCUUGCAGCAACUUUUACUCA